ACUGAAAGAAACACCAAAUUUUGUUUUCCUUGUUGGCCACAGUUUUAACUUUCUAAUUUCUUGUGGCAGUGUGCAACAGCAGAGGACUUCAUGGGCAUUGUGUUGGCUGAUAAUUAAGCAGCUGAUAUGAAGCAGCUGGACAGUUCAGCAAUCCCAGAAUAACUUCUGGAUUGAUGAUAUGCAUUGUUAAUAUAUACCAUAUUGAUUUUAAAAGAUGUUGUUAGUGGACAUAUGUUGGAAAAGUACUUUGAAAUGCUUGAAAUAAAAAUGCUAUGAAACUCCAGAAUAAAAGGAUAAUUUUGUGUAACAGUAAUAGGCGAGAGAAUAAAUAAUAGAGGAUUAAAAUUACCAAUAGUGCUUAAAUAGUUCAGCGUGUAAUGGUUGUAUCAAAUGUGAAUGACACUUUGAACCUUAAUGCUGAUGAAAGCCAAGGUAUUUUUUAUAAUGAAAACCCCAUAAGAAAUUAACAUUUUUUUGCUAUGUGGUUCUUUGUUAUACUGCAAUCUUACUCAGAAAUCUAAUAAUGAGAAGCAUAAAGGACAGAAUUAAUUAGGUGUUCCCAUCUAUGGCCUCAUCUAUUCAGAAAUGUUUUCUUUGCUGUGCUUUCCAGUGUUUUAUCAAAUUUAGCCUUAAAUAACUUUCCUUUCUGUGGGAAAAUAUAUUCUACUUUAUAUAGUGUUGCUGUUCAGAAAUGUUUUCUGAUGCUCAGCUUAUGCCACUCUCUUCCCUGAGUUCAUCCCACUUUUUAAUUCAUGCCCCUUAGAGUCAAGAUGUUUAAUUCCUCUCCCUCCUCUGUGAUUUACACUAUUGUCAUAUUUCUCAAGCGCAGUCAUCCAGCCAGGCCACCUUAUGUAGUUAUUUUGGUAUUUUUUCUGCCCUGUUUUAGAGGAUGUUGAAAUUUUUAACUUAGGAAGCAUAUUUAGUGUAAAACAAGGAUUGAUAUUUUGUUUAAGAGCAACUGAGAGUCUCUUUGUAGCCAGCCCUGUAUCUUUUUUCUUGACUUGUGAUUUCUGGUUUGUCAGGUUGGUUACAAAUAGUACUGCCAAUCACGAUUGCAUCCAAGGUAUUUUGCUAGAGCAAAGUUCCUUCUUCUCUUGAGUUUAUUUUUUGUCAUAUGUAAAUGUGCAUGUGAAUAUGCAUAAAAGUGUGUGUAAGUGUGUAUACAAGCAUGCACGCAGUCAUGUUGUGGUGGUAAAGGCUAUGCCUUCAUCCCAGAUUCUCCGUGGUUCAGCGCUGGGGAUUGGUGCACAGCUAGCACAGUGCUCUGAGUUUUUUUUUUCCGAUUACCCGGUCCCCAUGUCUCAGGUAUACGAAAUCAAAGACAUCCUGCUGCUUGGGUGCAUCCCAGUUCUUCUGCUCUCUGGAUUAUGGGCAUGGGUUUUCUUCUCAGGCGAUACCAGGAGCUAGCUCUACUCAGGUCAGGGACUACUGCUUAAGUCCUUCCCUGAAAAUCCACUUCACUAACCAUUUUCUUAUAAAUACUUCUUGUGUAAUUAUUUGCUAGAAGCAAUUCCUGGAUUAAAGUAUCAGUAGGUGUGGAAGUAUCAUGUAGCUGUAAAGUAGUGUGGAGCUGAUAUAAGAAAACAUGUUAUCCAAGGUAAGGUAGAAGUAGAAAGUUCUUGUAUAAUGUAUUGAAAAGGUGCUGUUGGGGAAAGGUAUGACCUCUGAUAACGGGACAUGUGGAAGAAACUAAUGUUUUUAAUGUUUUUAGGGAAAGAAAAAUUAAGCAAAAUUUUGCUUUACAAUGGAUGUGUAAAUCAUCAAGGAUUAAGUGUAUUACAGUCCUUGAAGAGAAGAAACAAAGCACUGACUAAAGCUAACAGAGCUGAGGGAAGAUUAUCUGUGCUUGCAGGAGUUCGUUUGACCCCAGUGUCCCCUGACUACUCUCACUCCAAACCCUGAGUGGCAGAGCCUGCUGGGCCUGUAUGGAAUAUGAUCUUUCAGCAUGUGGCAAAUUGCAAUUCUACAGAUGGUUUUAAAGAAAAAAGUAAUAACAAUUAUUAUGUUUUAAUUUUUAUUCUCUCAGUAUGUAACGGACGUGGAGUUAAGUGAAGAUUGUUUUAUCAUAUGUGACCUUGAGCUAUAGUAGGAUCUUAUUCUUCAUUAAUAAUAAAGAUUUGAUUCUUUCA
This is a long non-coding RNA of Pseudopipra pipra, 2129 nucleotides long. RefSeq lists it as uncharacterized. The transcript has 3 exons. NCBI's taxonomy places the organism in Eukaryota, Metazoa, Chordata, Aves, Passeriformes, Pipridae. The record is from RefSeq and is a predicted model, not a curated record.